GUGAUGCCCUUAGAUGUUCUGGGCUGCACGCGCGCUACAAUGAUAGGCUCAACGAGUAUUUAUAUUUAUUUAUAUCGCUGUACCGGAAGGUAUGGCUAAUCUUAAAAGCUUAUCGUGCUUGGGAUAGAUGAUUGCAAUUAUUUAUCUUGAACCAGGAAUUCCUAGUAAUCGUAUAUCAUCAGUGUGCGAUGAUUACGUCCCUGCCCCUUGUACACACCGCCCGUCGCUGCUACCGAUUGGAUGGUCCGGUGAAAUCCUCGGAUAGCGAUGAAUACUUUGACUUCGUGUUAAAGUUCAUUGCUAGAAGUUGAUUAAACCUUAUCAUCUAGAGGAAGCAAAAGUCGUAACAAGGUUUCCGUAGGAACCUGCGGAAGGAUCAUU
This 381-nucleotide ribosomal RNA is filed under the name Chloropicon laureae. RNAcentral describes it as "partial Eukaryotic small subunit ribosomal RNA". It matches the Rfam family "Eukaryotic small subunit ribosomal RNA", at positions 1464 to 1830 of the family's 1831-position model. The record is from RNAcentral. Lineage: Eukaryota; Viridiplantae; Chlorophyta; Chloropicophyceae; Chloropicales; Chloropicaceae.